RNAcentral lists this transfer RNA (79 nucleotides) under Danionella cerebrum. RNAcentral's name for it is "tRNA-Ser". Lineage: Eukaryota; Metazoa; Chordata; Actinopteri; Cypriniformes; Danionidae. The record is from RNAcentral.
GGCUCGUUGGUCUAGGGAUAUGAUUCUCGCUUUGAGUGCAGAGGUCCCGGGUUCAAGUCCCGAAAUCCCGGGCGAGCCC